This 400-nucleotide long non-coding RNA is filed under the name Theobroma cacao (cacao). Its description in RNAcentral is "long non-coding RNA (TCAC_LNC001506)". The record is from RNAcentral. Lineage: Eukaryota; Viridiplantae; Streptophyta; Magnoliopsida; Malvales; Malvaceae.
AUCUUCCAUGCUCACACUUAUGGGGCUUUUGUUCUUAGUGCUUCUCUAGGUUGUCCUUGAAUCCGUCCUUCAUAUUUACUGCACGAACAAACCUUGGUCUAAAAUGGUGGGCUAAUUCUUGCACCUCCAUCUGCUUCGAGAGAAGUCAGUGGCAGUACCGGUCCAGGCAAAGUAAUGUACAAACAAUCGUUGAAUCUUCUUCGUUUUCUUCUUCUUGUAGUCUUCACAAAAUGUACGGCCAUGCCGACAAAAAUUAAUAAGUCAACAUAUAAAAAUUCUACGAAAUGAAUGGUUAAUACGAUUAAUUAAAUGAGUAUUAAUAUAUUUAAGAUGAUGUUAACAGGGUCGUGCCCAACAUGAGAUGGAGAUAAAAUUGUCUUCCUUCCAAUGGAGCCUAAGU